GAUCCUGGCUCAGGAUGAACGCUAGCUACAGGCUUAACACAUGCAAGUCGAGGGGCAGCGGGAUUGAAGCUUGCUUCAAUUGCCGGCGACCGGCGCACGGGUGAGUAACGCGUAUCCAACCUUCCGUACACUCAGGGAUAGCCUUUCGAAAGAAAGAUUAAUACCUGAUGGUAUGAUGAGAUUGCAUGAUAUCAUCAUUAAAGAAUUUAUUCGGUGUACGAUGGGGAGUG
RNAcentral lists this ribosomal RNA (230 nucleotides) under uncultured bacterium. RNAcentral describes it as "partial 16S ribosomal RNA". It matches the Rfam family "Bacterial small subunit ribosomal RNA", at positions 15 to 233 of the family's 1533-position model. The record is from RNAcentral.